GUGGCUAUGAACAAACUGUUUGAUGAAUAUGAGAUUCGCUUCCCUGAGAAAGAUAAAUUUAUAAGUGAACCUGCUUCUGAUUCUGAUUCUGAUUCUGAUUAUGAUUCAGAAGGAGAGGUCCCUGCUGCUGGAAAUGCAAAUUAUACCUUUAGUGUGAUGAAGAAGUAUGAAGAAUUCCUCCAGUUAAGUGAUCUACCUGCAAAGAAAACAGACUUGCAUUGCUAUCUGGAACAGCCUGUCUUACCUUGGAGUCAGGAUUUCGAUGCCUUGACUUGGUGGAGCACCGCUGGUGCUAAGUAUCCUACCCUUUCCAGGAUGGCACGUGAUUUCUUGGCUAUUCCUGUUUCUGUUGCCUCUUCAUUUGAGGCGUUUUAUACUGAAGCAAGGCCAGCUGAUGCACGUGUUGUUUGCUUGAAGCCAGAGUUGAUGAAUGCCUUAGUGUGUUCUCGAAGCUGGUAUUCUAAGCACUGAAAGAUGUAAGG
This 482-nucleotide long non-coding RNA is filed under the name Fragaria vesca (wild strawberry). Its description in RNAcentral is "long non-coding RNA (FVES_LNC001980)". The record is from RNAcentral. Lineage: Eukaryota; Viridiplantae; Streptophyta; Magnoliopsida; Rosales; Rosaceae.